RNAcentral lists this ribosomal RNA (492 nucleotides) under uncultured bacterium. RNAcentral describes it as "partial 16S ribosomal RNA". It matches the Rfam family "Bacterial small subunit ribosomal RNA", at positions 29 to 507 of the family's 1533-position model. The record is from RNAcentral.
AGUGAACGCUGGCGGUAGGCCUAACACAUGCAAGUCGAACGGCAGCACAGUAAGAGCUUGCUCUUACGGGUAGCGAGUGGCGGACGGGUGAGGAAUACAUCGGAAUCUACUUUUUCGUGGGGGAUAACGUAGGGAAACUUACGCUAAUACCGCAUACGACCUACGGGUGAAAGCAGGGGAUCUUCGGACCUUGCGCGAUUGAAUGAGCCGAUGUCGGAUUAGCUAGUCGGCGGGGUAAAGGCCCACCAAGGCGACGAUCCGUAGCUGGUCUGAGAGGAUGAUCAGCCACACUGGAACUGAGACACGGUCCAGACUCCUACGGGAGGCAGCAGUGGGGAAUAUUGGACAAUGGGCGCAAGCCUGAUCCAGCCAUACCGCGUGGGUGAAGAAGGCCUUCGGGUUGUAAAGCCCUUUUGUUGGGAAAGAAAAGCAGCAGGUUAAUACCCCGCUGUUCUGACGGUACCCAAAGAAUAAGCACCGGCUAACUUCGUG